UGAGUAACCUGCCGUCCCACGGGGGAUAGCCGGCCCAACGGCCGGGUAAUACCGCAUACGCUCUUUGGUCGGCAUCGACCUUUGAGGAAACUUCCGGGGUGGGACGAGGGGCUCGCGGCCUAUCAGCUAGUUGGUGGGGUCAUGGCUCACCAAGGCGACGACGGGUAGCUGGU
Molecule: ribosomal RNA, 173 nt
Filed under: uncultured bacterium
Lineage: Bacteria
Description: partial 16S ribosomal RNA
Rfam family: Bacterial small subunit ribosomal RNA
Source: RNAcentral